GUACUUGCUUCAGCAGCACAUAUACUAAAAGUGGAACAAUACAGAGAUUAGUAUGGUACCUGCACAAGGAUGACAUGCAAAUUCAUGAGUGUUCCAUAUUUUU
Molecule: small nuclear RNA, 103 nt
Organism: Gracilinanus agilis (Agile Gracile Mouse Opossum)
Lineage: Eukaryota; Metazoa; Chordata; Mammalia; Didelphimorphia; Didelphidae
Source: RefSeq, a predicted model, not a curated record